AACGCGAAGAACCUUACCUGGGCUUGAACUACUCGUGGUAGAUCGAUGGAAACAUUGGUCGACCCGCAAGGGAGCGAGCAGAGGUGCUGCAUGGUUGUCGUCAGCUCGUGUCGUGAGAUGUUGGGUUAAGUCCCGCAACGAGCGCAACCCCUAUUCGAUGUUGCUAAUCCCGCAAGGGAUGCACUCUUCGAAAACUGCCUUCGAUAAGAAGGAGGAAGGUGGGGACGACGUCAAAUCCUCAUGGCCCUUAUGUCCAGGGCUACACACGUGCUACAAUGGCCGGUACAACGGGAAGCAAUACCGCAAGGUGGAGCCAAACCCUGAAAGCCGGCCCCAGUUCAGAUUGUGGGCUGCAACUCGCCCACAUGAAGGCGGAAUCGCUAGUAAUCGCUGAUCAGCAGGCAGCGGUGAAUACGUUCCCGGGCCUUGUACACACCGGAGUGC
This 444-nucleotide ribosomal RNA is filed under the name uncultured bacterium. Its description in RNAcentral is "bacterial SSU rRNA". It matches the Rfam family "Bacterial small subunit ribosomal RNA", at positions 958 to 1398 of the family's 1533-position model. The record is from RNAcentral.